UACGAAGGGGGCUAGCGUUGUUCGGAAUUACUGGGCGUAAAGGGUGCGUAGGCGGCCCGAUCAGUCAGAUGUGAAAGCCCCGGGCUCAACCUGGGAACUGCAUUUGAUACUGUCGGGCUUGAGUUCCGGAGAGGAUGGUGGAAUUCCCAGUGUAGAGGUGAAAUUCGUAGAUAUUGGGAAGAACACCAGUGGCGAAGGCGGCUCACUGGCCCGAUACUGACGCUGAGGCACGAAAGCGUGGGGAGCAAACAGG
Molecule: ribosomal RNA, 253 nt
Filed under: uncultured bacterium
Lineage: Bacteria
Description: partial 16S ribosomal RNA
Rfam family: Bacterial small subunit ribosomal RNA
Source: RNAcentral